Long non-coding RNA from Ixodes scapularis (black-legged tick), 770 nucleotides. RefSeq lists it as uncharacterized. The record is from RefSeq and is a predicted model, not a curated record. The transcript is spliced from 3 exons. NCBI's taxonomy places the organism in Eukaryota, Metazoa, Arthropoda, Arachnida, Ixodida, Ixodidae.
CGCCGGCUCUCCCUCCGUGCUCGUCGUCGGCGCUCGCUCUUCGGCCGCCCUACCUCCGAGAUACAAUUAGGCGGCCGGCUCAUUUACGCGCGAUCAAUGCGCAACACAGGCUCUAAAUCACGCUUCUUCGCCGCGCGCUGGCCCGUCGCUCGCUGCCAUCUUCGGUUCGGUGGAGAGCGUCUGCGCCCGAGGGCCUGCACGUGCGGCGGCGGAACCGGACGGAGAGUUCCGGUGGAGAUCUCCCACGUUGAGGAGAGAGGCUCUCACCUGUCUGGCGCGCGCGGCUGCCGCGGGAACAAUGGGAUGAAACUGGGAAGACGGGACAUUGGGAAAGGACUCUCGCGCGAAAAACGGACGACGACGGAUGGGCUAGGAGGUGGCGACUGCGACCUCGGGCGGCAGCCCGAUGACUUGGUCCGGACCUUACCCUGAACCGGACCCUCGACAGGGAUUUCCCCAAGAUGUUGCGUGGUCUAGCACCGCAGAGACAAUCGCCAGCUGUAGCAGUGGCAACGCACCCCCCAGCUCCAAAGGCUUCCUCCUCGAAGACCCUACUCGAUCCCGGAACUCCCAAGCAGAAUAGGACUUGGCUCCUGGAUACAGAGCCUUGACCAUCACCCUGCAUCUGGAGGACAGCCUGCACGACCGACUCCUUUCGGGUCUUCCACCCGCUGACUCGCAAACUUGGGAAUCGUUAUGGCUGUCGAGGAGUUUGAAGUCGCCCGCCUUUGUGUACUCCUAUUUCUCGAGUUCGGGUGUGGUCCAGUGAU